AAGUAUUUAAUGUAAGAUUGAACAUAUUAAAUUUUGAGUUUAAAAAUAAAUAUAAAUUUAAUACUUC
RNAcentral lists this transfer RNA (67 nucleotides) under Phytoseiulus persimilis. Its description in RNAcentral is "tRNA-Gln". The record is from RNAcentral. Lineage: Eukaryota; Metazoa; Arthropoda; Arachnida; Mesostigmata; Phytoseiidae.